UACGUAGGGCCCGAGCGUUGUCCGGAUUCAUUGGGCGUAAAGAGCUCGUAGGCGGCCACUCAAGUCGAAUGUGAAACCUCGAGGCUUAACCUCGAGCCUGCAUUCGAUACUGGGCGGCUAGAGUCUGGUAGGGGGAUCUGGAAUUCCUGGUGUAGCGGUGGAAUGCGCAGAUAUCAGGAGGAACACCGGUGGCGAAGGCGGCCUUCUGGACAGUGACUGACGCUGAGACGCGAAAGCGUGGGGAGCAAACAGG
RNAcentral lists this ribosomal RNA (253 nucleotides) under uncultured bacterium. Its description in RNAcentral is "partial 16S ribosomal RNA". It matches the Rfam family "Bacterial small subunit ribosomal RNA", at positions 524 to 776 of the family's 1533-position model. The record is from RNAcentral.